UCCACCUCUUCCCAUUCCGAACAGAGAAGUUAAACCUCACCACGCCGAUGGUACUGCGAAAGUGGGAGAGUAGGUAACCGCCCCCU
This 86-nucleotide ribosomal RNA is filed under the name Bacteroidales bacterium. The record is from RNAcentral. Lineage: Bacteria; Pseudomonadati; Bacteroidota; Bacteroidia; Bacteroidales.